RNAcentral lists this ribosomal RNA (168 nucleotides) under uncultured eukaryote. Its description in RNAcentral is "partial small subunit ribosomal RNA". It matches the Rfam family "Bacterial small subunit ribosomal RNA", at positions 1348 to 1525 of the family's 1533-position model. The record is from RNAcentral.
AUAAAUCGUGCGCGUCGCCAGUUGCGAAUGAGAGAUAUGUACACACCGCCCGUCAAGCCCGAAAGGGAGGGGCAUCCGAAGUCGCCACACCAAGCUGGUGCCGAAGAUGAAACUCCGAUCGGGAUAAGUCGUAACAAGGUAACCGUAGGUGAACCUGCAGAAGGAUCA